CCUACGGGCGGCAGCAGUGGGGAAUAUUGCGCAAUGGGCGAAAGCCUGACGCAGCGACGCCGCGUGAGGGAUGAAGGUCUUCGGAUCGUAAACCUCUGUCAGCAGGGAGCACGGUCCCUGUGCUAAUCAGCAGUGAAUUGACGGUACCUGCAAACGAAGCAUCGGCUAACUCCGUGCCAGCCGCCGCGGUAAUACGGAGGGUGCGGACGUUAAUCGGAAUUACUUGGCGUAAGGGGCUCGUAGGCGGGAUGUCAAGUCAAGGGUGAAAUCCCCGCGCCCAACGUGGGAACUGCCUUUGAUACUGGCAAACUGGAGUGUGUGAGAGGAUAGUGGAAUUCGAGGUGUAGGGGUGAAAUCCGUAGAUAUCUGGAGGAACAUCAGUGGCGAAGGCGACUAUCUGGCACAUAACUGACGCUGAGGAGCGAAAGCGUGGGUAGCAAACAGGAUUAGAUACCCUUGUAGUC
This 464-nucleotide ribosomal RNA is filed under the name uncultured bacterium. Its description in RNAcentral is "partial 16S ribosomal RNA". It matches the Rfam family "Bacterial small subunit ribosomal RNA", at positions 338 to 795 of the family's 1533-position model. The record is from RNAcentral.